AACGCACAUUGCGCCCUUUGGUAUUCCGAAGGGCAUGCCUGUUCGAGCGUCAUUUCAACCCUCAAGCUCUGCUUGGUAUUGGGUCUCACCGCAUGGUGGGCCUUAAAAUCAGUGGCGGUGCCAUCUUGGCUCUAAGCGUAGUAAAUCUCUCGCUCUGGGACCUCGGUGGUGCUUGCCAGCAACCCCAAAUUUUCUAUGGUUGACCUCGGAUCAGGUAGGGAUACCCGCUGAACUUAA
RNAcentral lists this unclassified non-coding RNA (237 nucleotides) under uncultured fungus. RNAcentral's name for it is "sequence contains ITS2". The stretch from base 1 to 52 matches the Rfam family "5.8S ribosomal RNA", at positions 103 to 154 of the family's 154-position model. Lineage: Eukaryota; Fungi. The record is from RNAcentral.